CCUACGGGUGGGCUGCAGUGGGGAAUAUUGGGCAAUGGGCGCAAGCCUGACCCAGCAACGCCGCGUGAAGGAAGAAGGCUUUCGGGUUGUAAACUUCUUUUCUCAGGGACGAAGCAAGUGACGGUACCUGAGGAAUAAGCCACGGCUAACUACGUGCCAGCAGCCGCGGUAAUACGUAGGGGGCAAGCGUUAUCCGGAUUUACUGGGUGUAAAGGGAGCGUAGACGGCAGCACAAGUCUGGAGUGAAAUCCCGGGGCUUAACCCCGGAACUGCUUUGGAAACUGUGCGGCUGGAGUGCAGGAGGGGUAAGCGGAAUGCCUAGUGUAGCGGUGAAAUGCGUAGAUAUUAGGAGGAACACCGGUGGCGAAGGCGGCUUACUGGACUGUAACUGACGUUGAGGCUCGAAAGCGUGGGGAGCAAACAGGAUUAGAAACCCGAGUAGUC
This 444-nucleotide ribosomal RNA is filed under the name uncultured bacterium. RNAcentral describes it as "partial 16S ribosomal RNA". It matches the Rfam family "Bacterial small subunit ribosomal RNA", at positions 338 to 795 of the family's 1533-position model. The record is from RNAcentral.